UGUCUUAUUCAUUCUGUUUAUUGGAUUGAAAGGGAAUACAAACGAUUGGUUAGGUGCUACGCACUGACAUGGAAAAGGUGUAUUUAAAAAAAAAAAAUCCCAUUAAAGCAAAUCAAAGUUAAUGUAGUUUCAAUUGAACAAAAUUUUAAAAGACGUUUAAUAUACUACACAUUUAUAAAAUAAAAGUUAACAAAGGGUGUUUUGUAAAUAAUUAGUAGAACAAGUGAAAAUAAAUAUGAGACCUGAAAUUUUUUAUGCUUUAAUGAAAUAAUAAAGCAAAGAAAUUUAAACUACUAAAUAGAAUCUGAGGCAGUUAAAAAAAAACAAACAGAACCCCCCAAAUUUAAGAACACAAUCCUUUGAAACACUGAAUCAGUCCAUAGCAAAUAGUUAUUACAGACCAAAAGCUCUAAGUGUUAACUAGCUCCACCACAAUGCCAUGGGAAUCUCGACAAGUUAGGUAUCUUGAGAUCAGCACUCAAGUUCUUUCCUUGAUCUCUACAGCUUGGUUUGUAAGUACAAACAUGCUUCUGCGGAUCUUUUCCCCUCGCCACACACACACAUUCAAGGAGCCAAUGACAUCUUUUUCCAUCUGUGCCUAAAAAUGUUACGAUUCGGUUUUAGCACAUUGACCCUGAUAAUGAAAAUGCUUGAGUUAAAGAUGGGGACACAUCUCAAUCUUAUAAAAAUAUACCAGUAUUAACCAGACCCUAAACUCAGAAAGGGCACAUCACACAAGCACGAGACUUAGUAAAAUGACAAGAACCCAGAAAGCAGUUUCUAGGACUCUUUAUGAAUUAAGUUCUCUCUCUCUCCCACACAGACAAACAACACACACACACACACACACACACACACACACACACAAUUUUUAUACUAUUAGUUUCAUUAAAUCCAGCCUAUCUGGAUUAAGUGGACAGGGGACGGGUUUUACAGUUUUUGUUUCUGCAACUAUAGGGCAGCUACUGUAACAAUAGCUUAACACUGAAACUUUCAAUUAAGUUCACCCUGUUUUUAGAAAGUGUCUAAGUGUAAAUAAAUGCAAAUUCACCUCUUCUUUUAAAGUUAGCUGUUUAUGCUAAAUCAGAUACGGUUUUGAAAAUGCAUGUUUUGGAGUGUAAGGCCAAAAGAGAGCUGCUAAAGUCUAAAUGAAAUCUAGAUAUCUGCACAUUUUAGAGAUGGGACACAAAGGAUAUUAAGGAAACUGUCUUCUGUCCUCCCCACUCAAGAGUAGUCAUUCUUCUGCUGUCAGAGAAACUGACACAGAGAUCUCCCUUUCAAGAGGUGUGCGGUAUUGACCGCUGAGCAGAGGUGGUAGGGUCAGUUCUCGUGUGCAGGAAACAACAGCCUAAAAAAGAAAAUUUCAAGAUGGGGGUGGGGUGGGGUGGGGAAGAAGGUUUGCUAUUAAUGUCACAGAACGCUGUUCUGGAGGGAGAACAGAAAGCGCCCUAUUUCUACGAGUGUGAGCUCAGAUGAAAAUACAGACAGAAAUUGGGAUUUUUUUCCCUUUCAACUAGCAGGUGCCUUCCAUCACCUCAUUCAUAUUUAAAGCUAGGUAAGCCCUGCCUGUCCUCCCACCCACUAAAAUGGGCUGGUCUUUGGGGAUGCUUGCAAACCUCCUGUUUAGACUACUUACCUGGUUUAAUGCAACACAUUUACCUGGCCUAGAGUAGAAAUGCAGCUGGUGCAACCACUAAGGAUACCCAGCCCCGGAGGAAAGCUGUGCCAUGCCCACACCUAGCCCCCACCCCCAGCUCUUCAUCACCCCCCCCCCCCCCCAGUCCACCUGAUUCUCACAUCCAACGCUCUACUACCCAUAACCAAGUGUUUGGAGGAAAAAGACAUUUCAUUUCAUACUUGCUCUAGCCCUUAAUCAAUGAAUAACAACAAAAACAUUUUUAAGCACAUGGAAGUGAGCCUACUAACCUGAUUUUUGGAGCCAAAAUUCCCCAGUCUAGUUUGAUCUAUGUGC
This 1972-nucleotide long non-coding RNA is filed under the name Canis lupus familiaris (dog). Its description in RNAcentral is "lncRNA (ENSCAFG00000051206.1)". Lineage: Eukaryota; Metazoa; Chordata; Mammalia; Carnivora; Canidae. The record is from RNAcentral.